Molecule: ribosomal RNA, 104 nt
Filed under: Bacteroides pyogenes
Lineage: Bacteria; Pseudomonadati; Bacteroidota; Bacteroidia; Bacteroidales; Bacteroidaceae
Description: partial 16S ribosomal RNA
Rfam family: Bacterial small subunit ribosomal RNA
Source: RNAcentral
CUUUUACAAUGAAGAGUUUGAUCCUGGCUCAGGAUGAACGCUAGCUACAGGCUUAACACAUGCAAGUCGAGGGGCAGCAUGAAUAUUGGCUUGCCAAUAUUUGA